GUUGCUUCUGCCCAGUUUUGUUCCAGGCUCUUCGCCAUGAAGCCUGCACCAACAAAGGAACCCAUGGAAGGGACUGCUGCUGUCAUUCCUAUUCUGUGACAGGCAAGAGUCAAAGGCAAUAAUUAGGCCACUCCUCAAAACUUAGAGUGACUCAGGCACGUGUGCCCCGGCUCCCUAACAGACUGACUUUAGCUGAUGACAUCUACCACAAGUUGAGUAAGUUUGCUCUACCACUCACUCUCUGGCAGGAUCUUCUGUCUCACCACACACCCAAAGGCCAAACGGUCAUGGAUUGAAACUUCUGAAACCUGACAUCUUGCUCCCCAUUCAGACGACCGUCAUUUCAUGUACUGGAGAAGAUGGCCUCCAACCUUAUAUCCCUUUGUAACCAACAUUCCAGAAAAAAGGUCACGCGCCAUCCCAAUCUAUUAGUCUGACAAAUGGAUGCCAUCUUUACUUGGAUUAUAGGUCCACAACGGGACCAAUAUCUGUGUCCAGGAAGAGAGGAUAUGCUAAUUAGCCAGGCCGGAGGACAUCUUUACACUCUUGUCCAAAAGAAGAGAUAUAGAGCAGGGGGAAAAGCAGCAGAUAUCUACUAAAGUUGCCUACAUAGUUUCAGUAUUUUGCAAGAGUUCCUUGACAUUUGCCCCUUUUCUUCUUGAAGAAGA
Long non-coding RNA from Fukomys damarensis (Damara mole-rat), 668 nucleotides. RefSeq lists it as uncharacterized. The transcript has 3 exons. The record is from RefSeq and is a predicted model, not a curated record. NCBI's taxonomy places the organism in Eukaryota, Metazoa, Chordata, Mammalia, Rodentia, Bathyergidae.